GGUAUAGUCUUCGGAUUAGAGACCGGCGCACGGGUGNNNAACGCGUAUGNNNUCUACCUUUCACAGAGGGAUAGCCCAGAGAAAUUUGGAUUAAUACCUCAUAGUAUUAUAGAAUGGCAUCAUUUUAUAAUUAAAGUCACAACGGUGAAAGAUGAGCAUGCGUCCCAUUAGCUUGUUGGUAAGGUAACGGCUUACCAAGGCUACGAUGGGUAGGGGUCCUGAGAGGGAGAUCCCCCACACUGGUACUGAGACACGGACCAGACUCCUACGGGAGGCAGCAGUGAGGAAUAUUGGACAAUGGGCGCAAGCCUGAUCCAGCCAUGCCGCGUGCAGGAUGACGGUCCUAUGGAUUGUAAACUGCUUUUAUACGAGAAGAAACACUCCUUCGUGAAGGAGCUUGACGGUAUCGUAAGAAUAAGGAUCGGCUAACUCCGUGCCAGCAGCCGCGGUAAUACGGAGGAUCCAAGCGUUAUCCGGAAUCAUUGGGUUUAAAGGGUCCGUAGGCGGUUUAAUAAGUCAGUGGUGAAAGCCCAUCGCUCAACGGUGGAACGGCCAUUGAUACUGUUAGACUUGAAUUAUUAGGAAGUAACUAGAAUAUGUAGUGUAGCGGUGAAAUGCUUAGAGAUUACAUGGAAUACCAAUUGCGAAGGCAGAUNACUACUAAUUGAUUGA
This 672-nucleotide ribosomal RNA is filed under the name uncultured bacterium. RNAcentral's name for it is "bacterial SSU rRNA". It matches the Rfam family "Bacterial small subunit ribosomal RNA", at positions 67 to 743 of the family's 1533-position model. The record is from RNAcentral.